UCGGUUGUACACUUACUUGCUUUACUCUAUUCCCUAUGUAUUUAUCUUUCAUUUAUGAUUACUGCGUCUCCCAUUCUAUCUCCUUCAUUUUUGAAUUGAAUUUUAACUGAAAUUUUGUUUCUUUUCUUUUGAAAAUUUGACAGUCCGAAGCCAUUAGAAGUCACAUAAUCGGUUUGUCGUUGAUGAAGUCGUCGUGGCCCGUCAGUGAUGAAAAAUUGACAAUGUAAUUGCAAUUGUUGUUAUGUAUUUGAUACAAUGGAAAAACUUAAGCUCUUUCGCAGCAAUAAUUUUAUAAUCAAGUAAUACUUCAGAGAUUAAAGAUUUGAAAGCUGGGGCGGAGCUGCUUGAUAUUAUUCUUUCAAAGUCCCAGAGAAUGGGCAUGGAGCCUCAAAGAGCUGCAGUGGGGAAGUAGAACCACUGUCAGGUUCAAUAUACCCAGCAGGCUCACCUCGAGCAGCAGACACAGUGAGGAGAAUAAUCGGCACAAUGAAGAAACCAGCAGGCUUACCUGCUUAGAUUUUUCGAUUUCAAAUUUUUAAAUCUUUCGACGAAAUCGAGUUCAGAUUUGAUGAUGCAUUCA
Long non-coding RNA from Spinacia oleracea (spinach), 580 nucleotides. RefSeq lists it as uncharacterized. NCBI's taxonomy places the organism in Eukaryota, Viridiplantae, Streptophyta, Magnoliopsida, Caryophyllales, Amaranthaceae. The record is from RefSeq and is a predicted model, not a curated record. The transcript is spliced from 3 exons.